This 503-nucleotide ribosomal RNA is filed under the name uncultured bacterium. RNAcentral describes it as "partial 16S ribosomal RNA". It matches the Rfam family "Bacterial small subunit ribosomal RNA", at positions 30 to 523 of the family's 1533-position model. The record is from RNAcentral.
AUUGAACGCUGGCGGCAGGCUUAACACAUGCAAGUCGAGCGGAGUGAUGGUGCUUGCACUAUCACUUAGCGGCGGACGGGUGAGUAAUGCUUAGGAAUCUGCCUAUUAGUGGGGGACAACAUCUCGAAAGGGAUGCUAAUACCGCAUACGUCCUACGGGAGAAAGCAGGGGAUCACUUGUGACCUUGCGCUAAUAGAUGAGCCUAAGUCGGAUUGGCUAGUUGGUGGGGUAAAGGCCUACCAAGGCGACGAUCUGUAGCGGGUCUGAGAGGAUGAUCCGCCACACUGGGACUGAGAAACGGCCCAGACUCCUACGGGAGGCAGCAGUGGGGAAUAUUGGACAAUGGGGGGAACCCUGAUCCAGCCAUGCCGCGUGUGUGAAGAAGGCCUUAUGGUUGUAAAGCACUUUAAGCGAGGAGGAGGCUCUUUUGGUUAAUACCCAAGAUGAGUGGACGUUACUCGCAGAAUAAGCACCGGCUAACUCUGUGCCAGCCGCCGCCGUAA